GACGAACGCUGGCGGCGUGCCUAAUACAUGCAAGUAGAACGCUGAAGGAGGAGCUUGCUCUUCUGGAUGAGUUGCGAACGGGUGAGUAACGCGUAGGUAACCUGCCUGGUAGCGGGGGAUAACUAUUGGAAACGAUAGCUAAUACCGCAUAACAGUAGAUGUUGCAUGACAUUUACUUAAAAGGUGCAAUUGCAUCACUACCAGAUGGACCUGCGUUGUAUUAGCUAGUUGGUGGGGUAACGGCUCACCAAGGCGACGAUACAUAGCCGACCUGAGAGGGUGAUCGGCCACACUGGGACUGAGACACGGCCCAGACUCCUACGGGAGGCAGCAGUAGGGAAUCUUCGGCAAGGGACGGAAGUCUGACCGAGCAACGCCGCGGGAGUGAAGAAGGGUUUCGGAUCGUAAAGCUCUGUUGUAAGAGAAGAACGAGUGUGAGAGUGGAAAGUUCACACUGUGACGGUAUCUUACCAGAAAGGGACGGCUAACUACGUG
This 495-nucleotide ribosomal RNA is filed under the name uncultured bacterium. RNAcentral's name for it is "partial 16S ribosomal RNA". It matches the Rfam family "Bacterial small subunit ribosomal RNA", at positions 28 to 507 of the family's 1533-position model. The record is from RNAcentral.